RNAcentral lists this ribosomal RNA (441 nucleotides) under uncultured bacterium. RNAcentral's name for it is "partial 16S ribosomal RNA". It matches the Rfam family "Bacterial small subunit ribosomal RNA", at positions 338 to 795 of the family's 1533-position model. The record is from RNAcentral.
CCUACGGGAGGCAGCAGUGGGGGAUAUUGCACAAUGGGGGGAACCCUGAUGCAGCGACGCCGCGUGGGUGAAGGAGCGUUUCGGCUCGUAAAGUCCUAUCGGCAGGGAAGAAGGAGUUCGGUACCUGACUAAGAAGCCCCGGCUAACCACGUGCCAGCAGCCGCGGUAAUACGUAGGGGGCAAGCGUUAUUCGGUUUUACUGGGUGUAAAGGUGUCGCAGACGGCAGCGCAAGCCAGGAGUGAAAGCCCGGGGCCCAACCCCGGGACUGCUCUUGGAACUGCGCGGCUGGAGUGCAGGAGGGGCAGGCAGAAUUCCUGGUGUAGCGGUGAAAUGCGUAGAGAUCAGGAGGAACACCGGUGGCGAAGGCGGCCUGCUGGACUGCGACUGACGUUGAGGGCCGAAAGCGUGGGGAGCAAACAGGAUUAGAUACCCUGGUAGUC